ACGGGGAUGCUUACUACUUCGAUGUCGACUUACCACAUCCUGGAUACGAAGCAAUAUCCAAGGGUUCGGGUGUUCACCGAUUAAAGUGGUUCGUGAGUUGGGUUCAGACCGUCGUAAGACAGGUCGGUUUUUAUCUGCUGUGAGGGACUUGAAGAAUGAGGGAGAAUGUCUCUAGUACGAGAGGACCGAGAUAUGUAAGCCAAUAGUGUUUCAGUUGUCAUCUGUCAAUGGCACGCUGGGUAGCCACGCUUAUCCGAGAUAAUUGCUGAAAGCAUAUAAGCAAGAAGCUCUUCCCAACACGAUUCUUCUUUAAGAAUGGUGGAAGACUACCACCUUGAUAGGCUACAGGUGUAAGUGAUGUGAAUCAUUGAGCUGAGUAGUACUAAUCUUCAGUAAAUUUUAAUUG
RNAcentral lists this non-coding RNA (406 nucleotides) under Ceratocystis platani. Its description in RNAcentral is "Bacterial large subunit ribosomal RNA". It matches the Rfam family "Bacterial large subunit ribosomal RNA", at positions 2508 to 2925 of the family's 2925-position model. Lineage: Eukaryota; Fungi; Ascomycota; Sordariomycetes; Microascales; Ceratocystidaceae. The record is from Rfam by way of RNAcentral.